GAGUUUGAUCUUGGCUCAGAUUGAACGCUGGCGGCAUGCCUUACACAUGCAAGUCGAACGGCAGCAUGAUCUAGCUUGCUAGAUUGAUGGCGAGUGGCGAACGGGUGAGUAAUACAUCGGAACAUGCCCUGUAGUGGGGAUAACUAGUCGAAAGAUUAGCUAAUACCGCAUACGACCUGAGGGUGAAAGUGGGGACCGCAAGGCCUCAUGCUAUAGGAGCGGCCGAUGUCUGAUUAGCUAGUUGGUGGGGUAAAGGCCCACCAAGGCGACGAUCAGUAGCUGGUCUGAGAGGACGAUCAGCCACACUGGGACUGAGACACGGCCCAGACUCCUACGGGAGGCAGCAGUGGGGAAUUUUGGACAAUGGGCGAAAGCCUGAUCCAGCAAUGCCGCGUGUGUGAAGAAGGCC
This 409-nucleotide ribosomal RNA is filed under the name uncultured microorganism. Its description in RNAcentral is "bacterial SSU rRNA". It matches the Rfam family "Bacterial small subunit ribosomal RNA", at positions 9 to 416 of the family's 1533-position model. The record is from RNAcentral.